Anas platyrhynchos (mallard) is the source of this 3444-nucleotide long non-coding RNA. RefSeq lists it as uncharacterized. Lineage: Eukaryota; Metazoa; Chordata; Aves; Anseriformes; Anatidae. The record is from RefSeq and is a predicted model, not a curated record.
CCUUGGGUCCCGAGGAGUGACAACCAGCAAAGCCAUGUGAGAGCCACCGAGCUCCGAAGAUCUGCCUUGGAUCUCACACAGGGAGCAAAUGUCAUGUGUGACAAGCACACUUCCUCGGAUACCCUCCUUCAGCACAGGGGAGGCCAAAAGCAGCGAGGCCCCCGGCUCCACCUUGCCACGAGCAGUGCCGAUACGUGAGCACCUGGCUUUUGUGCUGCGGGUCUUUCCCUUGGCUCUUCCUCUCCUGUUUUCACGGAGAUGAUGCUGAGUUUGUUUUUCAGCACGGCGAAGGAGGAGUAAUAAUUUCCGUGUGGGCCACCCUGCCAAGAGGACGUGCUUCGUGCCGGCUUACUGCGCUCAUCUCUUCUGGGACGGCUCCAGGCUGGCUGAGCAGAAUAUGCUAAGAAAGCGAUUCCAAGAAAAUCACAGUCAUCGUCAGAGGAAGGUGCCCAUGAAACUACGUCCUGGCAUCUUAUCUGGAGCAAGGAGGCUCGCGUGGCAGGCUGGCAAUGCAGUGCUAAGAAGAGAACUGCAGCCUGGCCAAGCCCGCAGCCCAAGGGAGCCGGGGCAGCCAAACAAUGCAGCUUUUUCUUGCUCCGUGGUGUGGGUCUUGUGGCACCAAGCUGGGGAGAGCUCUGCAAGCCACAAUGGAGAAAAUAACAGGAACUGCCCCAAGUCUGCUGAAUAGGGAAAUGCCAUCCCAAUCAUUCAGAAAAGAAUUUAAAAAGAAAAAAAAAAAAAAGAAUGAGAUGAGAAAUUGGAAGUGCUUUCAAAGCAGCACAGUGCCAAAGGAAGGCAGCCCAGAAAGGUCCCAGAGAUCUAAUUAUAGUCUGCAAUCAAUGCUGCUCUUAUCCGUGCUGCUAAUGAACAUACAUGAGGCAAGCAGUUUUGCAGCUCCAGGGUUUCUUGCAGUCGAAAUAACAGCUCGGUAAUAACUAGCCGUCUUGCUUGAUUAGGGCUCGCUCUGCCUUCUCCCAGCUUCCCAGCCUUUGGUGCGUGCCCUCAGGGAGAAGUGGGAGCUGUAGCCAGGGCUGUUCAGGAUGGGGUAAGCAGCCAAAGCUCCGGCACAAAUGCAUUAAUGGCACACAGAGAGACAGGCAACGAGGGACAGGCCUCCCAAGGGCUGGAAAAUGCUAGCUGUCGGGAUGGGAAAGGACCCAGACUUCCCAGAAACUGCACCAGUGGGAGAAGAUCUUCCCUCAUGGAAUAAAAAAGCGAUGCUCAUCCUGCUUUUUCAGGGAAUGAAGCUCAGAGAACAGGGGCUGGCACCUCUCUGCUCUCAGAUCAGCAGCUAAAAUGGACAGCAGAGUGUCUUCUGUUAAGGGCUACGUGCUAAUUCCAGGUGGCUGCUUCUUCCGACCCCAAGAAAAUAGAGCCUGACUUAUGGCUCGGGUCCAGUCAGCACCUGCCAAGUGGAAGGAGAUGCUGCUGCCACGCAGGAGCUGUCUUCGCAGGCAGCUGGAGCAGGCCAGAGGCAGUUCUCCAGCAUCUGCUCUUUCCAGCAUUCUCCUUGUUCCGAAGAAGAGAGCCUGGGGAGUCCCUCGGGCCAGAGAAGGAGCUGGAAGGAGCUGUGCUGGGAAUCUGCGCUUCAGCUCCCUCCAGCUUCAUGAAGCACAUGCCUUUCAAAAGGCAUUCUAGAAACAUAUGGCCUCAAUUUUCGCCUGGUUGGUGACAUUUCUUCCCUGCAUCGCCCGGAGGAAGCUGUUUGGGUGAUUAUUCAUCCCCACAACUCAAUAACCGCGCCAGUCUGGAGCGGUCUGGUUCCCCGGGGCUGCAGUUACAGCUUGAUCUGCUUGGCUGUGAAGUGAUCACUCCCUCCAUUCGGUGGGAAUGCUUGAGUGCUGGGUGUCUCCCUGGGCUUCAGGUUGAGCACUCUCCUUUUUCGUGGGGUCUGCACUGCAUCUGGGAACCCUGCUUGGUCACUGUUCAACCGUUCCCCUUGCUGGGUCGUCCGUACCUUGGAAAAUCCAGCUGCUGAUGGAGGCCACAUCCCAACUUCUUCCUUCUUCAUAUCGUUAAGGAAACAAAGGCGAUCCACUUGAGGAAUUUGCAAAGGGAGACACAGCCAAGCAGGAACACAAGCAGAAGAGCUGAAAAACAACCCCAGACAAGCCAGCUUAUGACCUCCGGUGCAUUUCAGAAGAAAAGAGCCUUUCUUUGGUUUGGCUACAGCUGGAGUUGGGUGGUGCCUCAGUUUAGAGUAAAGACUACACAGCAGCAGCAGAGCAAGGAGGAGACGUGUGACUAAUGUGUCGGAGGAGGGCUUGUCUGUAUCCCUGUUCCAGGAGCCCAAGCAUUUCACUGCUCCUUGGCUGGCCACCGGGGAGCAGAUUCAGGCGACCUGGCCUUCCCAAGGCCACUAUCAGCCAGGAGCAACGUGACUCAAUUAUCUCUGUUCAGAGGUGGCACAGAAAACCCUAAGGAUGCAGGGGUUUGGGAGCCUCAGAGAGGCUGUGUGUGUGAGAGACGGGGCCCAGAAGCACUCUAAGAAAUCUGCCUAUGUUUUGUGGAUAUGUUUUAACAGCAAGUGCACAAUCACACCUGCCACCAAGGGCUUUAUAAACACAGCAGUCCCCGUGUCUGCGUUCUCUAGCAAACACCACCUGGACAAGAGCUCUUUUUUUGGCCUUUCUAACAUCCCCUCACCUCCCCCAGCUGUCAGCAGGGUUAGCUCGGACUUCCUUAUCUCUGCAGCAGAAACUGUCACAUGGGGGUUUCAGCCACAAAACGCACAGGAAGCGUCUGACUGUGGUCACCUCACUCCAAAGCUCGGGUUCACGUUCAAAUGUGAAAGCAGCGCUGACCUGAAUCACCUGCAGGACACAGUGGGGCAGUGCAAAAAUAUUUUUACGAGCUUUUUUUCCCCUUAAAACCAGGAAAAAAAUGGAUGGUCUUUUGAAAGGGAAACCCCUGCUGUGUGAUUGAUUAAUAGGACAGUGCUAGUAAAAGAAUAUUUAAAACUUGAAGCACUUUUGAUGAUGCUUUUGAUGGCGAGAUAGGCAACACGACCAGCAGGAAAUGGUGUGCAAUAUCAGAGUGAUGUCAAUGUCAGGCAGAUAGCUGAGCCAUCAGCUUACACCCAGCUUCCUGGGUGCAUGCAGGUUUCUUAUUCCCCUGCAGCAGAGAGCAGCUUUAAAGAUUGAUCAAACAUCCUGCGCCUCACCUUGUCAGCAUUUUUUUUUUGUGUGUGAUGCAAAGACUGAGGGAGGAACCUGAGAAACCAAAAGCUUUCCUUCACCCAGCUGCUGUAGAGGGCAAGGCACCCAGGAAAGACAGCUUCCUCUUGUGAGAGCAGGAGGCUCCAAAAUAGCCACAGACUGCUUCUGUGCAGGGCAAGGGCUAAGCUCACUGCAAGGCUUCGUGGCAGGACAGGAAAUACCGUCUGCCAGCCCACACAAAGGCUGUGCUGUGCUUUAUUCCCUCCCCCCUGCUCUCUUUCUUACC